UAACUCAUAGUGGCGCACGGGUGCGUAACACGUAACUAACCUACCUAUAACUGGGGGAUAGCCCGCCGAAAGGCGGAUUAAUACCGCAUAAGCCAUGGACCCGGCAUCGGGAUUUUGGUAAAGAUUUAUUGGUUAUAGAUGGGGUUGCGGGUCAUUAGCUAGUUGGUUGGGUAACGGCUGACCAAGGCGACGAUGACUAGGGGAGCUGAGAGGCUGGUCCCCCACACGGGCACUGAGAUACGGGCCCG
RNAcentral lists this ribosomal RNA (248 nucleotides) under uncultured bacterium. RNAcentral's name for it is "partial 16S ribosomal RNA". It matches the Rfam family "Bacterial small subunit ribosomal RNA", at positions 86 to 334 of the family's 1533-position model. The record is from RNAcentral.